RNAcentral lists this ribosomal RNA (500 nucleotides) under uncultured bacterium. RNAcentral's name for it is "partial 16S ribosomal RNA". It matches the Rfam family "Bacterial small subunit ribosomal RNA", at positions 30 to 523 of the family's 1533-position model. The record is from RNAcentral.
AUUGAACGCUGGCGGCAUGCUUUACACAUGCAAGUCGAACGGUAACGGGGAGCUUGCUCCGCUGACGAGUGGCGAACGGGUGAGUAAUAUAUCGGAACGUACCCAAGAGUGGGGGAUAACGUAGCGAAAGUUACGCUAAUACCGCAUACGAUCUAUGGAUGAAAGCAGGGGACCUUCGGGCCUUGUGCUCCUGGAGCGGCCGAUAUCUGAUUAGCUAGUUGGUGAGGUAAAGGCUCACCAAGGCGACGAUCAGUAGCUGGUCUGAGAGGACGAGCAGCCAAACUGGAACUGAGACACGGUCCAGACUCCUACGGGAGGCAGCAGUGGGGAAUUUUGGACAAUGGGCGCAAGCCUGAUCCAGCAAUGCCGCGUGAGUGAAGAAGGCCUUCGGGUUGUAAAGCUCUUUUGUCAGGGAAGAAACGGCUGUGGCUAAUAUCCACGGCUAAUGACGGUACCUGAAGAAUAAGCACCGGCUAACUACGUGCCAGCCGCCGCCGUAA